UUUUUUUCCUUUUUUAAUUUUCUAUCAAACUAUUAUCAACUUUUUUUUAAAAAAAAUUCAGUUUGUGACAGAUAUUUUAUUAUUAGAAAUCCAUACAAUUUAAAUAAUGUUACAUUUAUAUGUAUUUAUGUAUAAAAUGGUCUUCAUAAUUUGGGAUUUUGUAAAAAAAGGGUCUAAAGUUAAUUUGGUUAAUUUUUUUUUUCUGUAACAAAAGUUAAUUGAAUUUAUAAUUUUCUUUUUUGAAUGGGUUGUAUCAGUUAAAUUAUCUUUUUAAG
This 275-nucleotide long non-coding RNA is filed under the name Brassica rapa (field mustard). RNAcentral describes it as "long non-coding RNA (BRAP_LNC006775)". Lineage: Eukaryota; Viridiplantae; Streptophyta; Magnoliopsida; Brassicales; Brassicaceae. The record is from RNAcentral.